CCUUCGAUAGCUCAGCUGGUAGAGCGGAGGACUGUAGAUCCUUAGGUCGCUGGUUCAAUUCUGGCUCGAAGGA
This 73-nucleotide transfer RNA is filed under the name Xenopus tropicalis (tropical clawed frog). RNAcentral's name for it is "tRNA-Tyr (GTA) (tRNA-Tyr-GTA-11 1 to 3)". It matches the Rfam family "tRNA". Rfam says of the family: Transfer RNA (tRNA) molecules are approximately 80 nucleotides in length. Their secondary structure includes four short double-helical elements and three loops (D, anti-codon, and T loops). Lineage: Eukaryota; Metazoa; Chordata; Amphibia; Anura; Pipidae. The record is from RNAcentral.